RNAcentral lists this ribosomal RNA (657 nucleotides) under uncultured marine microorganism. RNAcentral describes it as "bacterial SSU rRNA". It matches the Rfam family "Bacterial small subunit ribosomal RNA", at positions 99 to 795 of the family's 1533-position model. The record is from RNAcentral.
CGGACGGGUGAGUAACGCGUGAGAAUCUGCCUCGGGAGGGGGACAACAGCUGGAAACGGCUGCUAAUACCCCACAUGCCGCGAGGUGAAAUGAAUUUCGCCUGAGGAUGAGCUCGCGUCUGAUUAGCUAGUUGGUGAGGUAAUGGCUCACCAAGGCAUCGAUCAGUAGCUGGUCUGAGAGGAUGAUCAGCCACACUGGGACUGAAACACGGCCCAGACUCCUACGGGAGGCAGCAGUGGGGAAUUUUCCGCAAUGGGCGAAAGCCUGACGGAGCAACGCCGCGUGAGGGAUGAAGGCCUCUGGGCUGUAAACCUCUUUUAUCAAGGAAGAAGAUCUGACGGUACUUGAUGAAUAAGCCACGGCUAAUUCCGUGCCAGCAGCCGCGGUAAUACGGGAGUGGCAAGCGUUAUCCGGAAUUAUUGGGCGUAAAGCGUCCGCAGGCGGCCCUUCAAGUCUGCUGUUAAAAAGUGGAGCUUAACUCCAUCAUGGCAGUGGAAACUGUUGGGCUUGAGUGUGGUAGGGGCAGAGGGAAUUCCCGGUGUAGCGGUGAAAUGCGUAGAUAUCGGGAAGAACACCAUUGGCGAAGCGCUCUGCUGGCCAUCACUGACGCUCAUGGACAAAGCCAGGGGAGCGAAUGGGAUUAUAUACCCAGUAGUC